AGAGUUUGAUCCUGGCUCAGGACGAACGCUUGCGACGUGCCUAAGAAAUGCAAGUCGAACGGGGGCUUCGGCCCUAGUGGCGAACGGUCACGUAACACGUGGGCAACCUGCCUCGAAGCGGGGGACAACAGAGGGAAACCUCUGCUAAUACCGCAUGUGAAUUGCUCCGGCAUCGGAGAGGAUUCAAAGCCGCAAGGCACUUCGAGAUGGGCCCGCGGCCUAUCAGCUAGUUGGUGGGGUAACGGCCUACCAAGGCGACGACGGGUAGCUGGUCUGAGAGGACGAUCAGCCGGAUUGGGACUGAGAUACGGUCCAGACUCCUACGGGGGGCAGCAAUUAGGAAUCUUGCGCAAUGGGCGAAAGCCUGACGCAGCGACGUCGCGUGAAGGAUGAAAUCUUUCGGGAUGUAAACCUCUUUUGUCAGGGAAGAAACAAAUGACGGUACCUGACGAAUAAGCCCCGGCUAACUACGUGCCAGCAGCCGCGGUAAUACGUAGGGGGCGAGCGUUGUCCGAAGUUACUGGGCGUAAAGAGCGCGUAGGCGGGUCUUUAAGUGAGGGGUGAAAGGUUCAGGGCUCAACCCGGACACUGCCUUUCAUACUGGAGGCCUUGAGUGUGGGAGAGGCGAGUGGAAUGGCUGGUGUAGCGGUGAAAUGCGCAGAUAUCAGUCGGAACACCCAUGGCGAAGGCAGCUCGCUGGCCUAUAACUGACGCUGAGGCGCGAAAGCGUGGGGAGCAAACAGGAUUAGAUACCCUGGUAGUCC
Molecule: ribosomal RNA, 764 nt
Filed under: uncultured bacterium
Lineage: Bacteria
Description: bacterial SSU rRNA
Rfam family: Bacterial small subunit ribosomal RNA
Source: RNAcentral